GCGCUUCAUAACCACAAACUUGUUAAUUCAGUUUUUUUCCAACCCAUAUGUUAAAGCAACCAAAGCUGAUGGUAAUCAAAUUAGCAUACUGAAUUACGAGUCAUUUCACAAUAUAGAAAGGCUAACUAAUUUUUCAUUUCUCUAGGAAAGAUAUUAUGUUGAGUAUACCUCUAUGACUGCGAAAGAUCAUUUUUAAGAACGAGAUGCAGAAAAUGUAGAGCUCAAUGAAGAUGGUUUACAAGGUCCACCAAAGAUCCAUAAUAUAUUAACAGGGAUGCCGCAUGAAAACAAGAUCACUAAGGCAUAUUCACGGCUUUUACUCAGUUAUGACAUUGCGCCUAUUUAUUUAGCAUGAACUGAACUGCGCUUCAGCUGUAGGAAGCACACAAAAAAUGUAUGCUAAAGAACAUCAGGGUUGUGUACCAAGUUAGGAGAUUACUAAGCAGUAAUGUCCUGAAAAUAUUGGCAAAGAGAGCUAUGUCAAUUCAUCUUUAGGACGUCGGUGCAUAACUGUCAUAGAUGCUUUGGGUGAUGUUAUUGCUUGGCCUAGGUUCUGUAUCAAAAAGAAGAAAUCGAGCUCAAACCAGACAAAUAAUAACCUGGUAAAAUCUGGAGCUAAAUAGGACUGAAAUGAAUGAAGAUGGAGAGAGGCAAAGCAUUUGCUUCCGCCUCGAUAAAUCAAUGGAGGGAUAUUUGCUGUCAUUUUUGAGAGAUAAUUGUUAUAUAGGAUUUUUAUGAUUUUUCUGUUCAGGAUCUUUCCCGAUGUAUCUGUGAAUUAUUAAUAUGAAUAUUCUAUUCAGUUUUGAAUUUCUUUUUGUAUUAAUGAA
Long non-coding RNA from Lolium rigidum, 827 nucleotides. RefSeq lists it as uncharacterized. The record is from RefSeq and is a predicted model, not a curated record. The transcript has 4 exons. Lineage: Eukaryota; Viridiplantae; Streptophyta; Magnoliopsida; Poales; Poaceae.